This 274-nucleotide long non-coding RNA is filed under the name Mytilus galloprovincialis (Mediterranean mussel). Lineage: Eukaryota; Metazoa; Mollusca; Bivalvia; Mytilida; Mytilidae. The record is from RNAcentral.
UUUCCCUCGAUCCACAUGAGGAAUUGCAAUUAAUACAUUUGCUCCAACAUCCACCUGUGUUAAAACUCUUUCCGAUAGAUUUCUCAUCCUGAGUGCUUGUUUUGUCAUUGAGUCUGAUGCAUGCCUUCUCUAAUUUCUGAUGACCUCUUCGUUUGAACAUAGGUGACAAGUAAUAGUAUCAGAUAUGUUUCCUUUUGAACACAGCUCAUGUAUGUACUGUGCACAAGUAAAACACUGGAUAUUCGAAAAACAUAGAUUUUCACACACGGCACAC